Molecule: unclassified non-coding RNA, 411 nt
Filed under: soil metagenome
Description: partial contains 5.8S ribosomal RNA, internal transcribed spacer 2, and large subunit ribosomal RNA
Rfam family: 5.8S ribosomal RNA (bases 1-121)
Source: RNAcentral
GAUGAAGAACGUAGCGAAAUGCGAUAAGUAGUGUGAAUUGCAGAAGUACCGUGAAUCAUCGAAUCUUUGAACGCAAAUUGCACUCUCUGGUAUUCCGGGGAGUAUGCCUGUUUGAGGGUCGCUUAACAAACCAUCGAUUUCGUUGCUUUUUUUUUAAAGAGUGAUGUUUAUCGGAUUUGAGCCGUCUUUUUUUUUUAUAUUUAAAAGUGGCUUAAAAUUGAUUUUUUUGGUACGAUCGAAGCGUAUUUUUAUGAUCAAUUUUUGGUUAAAGAAACGCACACGUACCGUUAUUUAUAUGAUGUAAUACGUUUGACUAUUGGAUUUAGUUCAUUCGUAUACGAUAUCUUUCAAUAUUUGACCUCAAAUCAGGUAAGAACACCCGCUGAACUUAAGCAUAUCAAAAGCGGAGGA